UGGGGAAUUUUGGACAAUGGGGGAAACCCUGAUCCAGCCAUGCCGCGUGAAGGAUGAAGUAUUUCGGUAUGUAAACUUCGAAAGAAUAGGAAGAAUAAAUGACGGUACUAUUUAUAAGGUCCGGCUAACUACGUGCCAGCAGCCGCGGUAAUACGUAGGGACCAAGCAUUGUUCGGAUUUACUGGGCGUAAAGGGCGCGUAGGCGGCAUGACAAGUCACUUGUGAAAUCUCUGGGCUUAACCCAGAACGGCCAAGUGAUACUGUCGCGCUAGAGUGCAGAAGGGGCAAUCGGAAUUCUUGGUGUAGCGGUGAAAUGCGUAGAUAUCAAGAGGAACACCUGAGGUGAAGACGGGUUGCUGGGCUGACACUGACGCUGAGGCGCGAAAGCCAGGGGAGCAAACGGGAUUAGAUACCCAAGUAGUCCCUGAGCGGGCUGGCAAGGCGCAU
RNAcentral lists this ribosomal RNA (447 nucleotides) under uncultured bacterium. RNAcentral describes it as "bacterial SSU rRNA". It matches the Rfam family "Bacterial small subunit ribosomal RNA", at positions 355 to 825 of the family's 1533-position model. The record is from RNAcentral.